RNAcentral lists this ribosomal RNA (495 nucleotides) under uncultured bacterium. RNAcentral's name for it is "partial 16S ribosomal RNA". It matches the Rfam family "Bacterial small subunit ribosomal RNA", at positions 28 to 507 of the family's 1533-position model. The record is from RNAcentral.
GACGAACGCUGGCGGCGUGCCUAAUACAUGCAAGUAGAACGCUGAAGGAGGAGCUUGCUUCUCUGGAUGAGUUGCGAACGGGUGAGUAACGCGUAGGUAACCUGCCUGGUAGCGGGGGAUAACUAUUGGAAACGAUAGCUAAUACCGCAUAAGAGUAGAUGUUGCAUGACAUUUGCUUAAAAGGUGCAAUUGCAUCACUACCAGAUGGACCUGCGUUGUAUUAGCUAGUUGGUGGGGUAACGGCUCACCAAGGCGACGAUACAUAGCCGACCUGAGAGGGUGAUCGGCCACACUGGGACUGAGACACGGCCCAGACUCCUACGGGAGGCAGCAGUAGGGAAUCUUCGGCAAUGGACGGAAGUCUGACCGAGCAACGCUGCGUGAGUGAAGAAGGUUUUCGGAUCGUAAAGCUCUGUUGUAAGAGAAGAACGAGUGUGAGAGUGGAAAGUUCACACUGUGACGGUAUCUUACCAGAAAGGGACGGCUAACUACGUG